This 856-nucleotide unclassified non-coding RNA is filed under the name Brasilonema wernerae BLCC-T49. RNAcentral's name for it is "partial contains 16S ribosomal RNA, 16S-23S ribosomal RNA intergenic spacer, and 23S ribosomal RNA". The stretch from base 1 to 155 matches the Rfam family "Bacterial small subunit ribosomal RNA", at positions 1381 to 1533 of the family's 1533-position model. Lineage: Bacteria; Bacillati; Cyanobacteriota; Cyanophyceae; Nostocales; Scytonemataceae. The record is from RNAcentral.
UUGUACACACCGCCCGUCACACCAUGGAAGCUGGUCACGCCCGAAGUCGUUACCCUAACCUUUCGAGGAGGGGGACGCCGAAGGUAGGACUGGUGACUGGGGUGAAGUCGUAACAAGGUAGCCGUACCGGAAGGUGUGGCUGGAUCACCUCCUUUUUAGGGAGACCCAAAUCAAUUCAAAAGUCAAAAUUCAAAGUUCAAAAACAAGAAAAAGCUUUUGAAAAUUUGAAUUAAGAAGAAAAGUUUGAAUUGGUUUUAUCCCGAGGUCGUUCGCAAGGUUAUAACAGUAAGCUUUCAAACUAUAAGUAAGGUUCGGAUAUGGGCUAUUAGCUCAGGUGGUUAGAGCGCACCCCUGAUAAGGGUGAGGUCCCUGGUUCGAGUCCAGGAUGGCCCACCUGAAGUCAAUUCCAAAGUUAAAAUGAGGAAUUCAAAAUAAAAUUUUGGAUUUUGAAUUUUGAAUUUUGAAUUGCUUGGGGGGGUAUAGCUCAGUUGGUAGAGCGCCUGCUUUGCAAGCAGGAUGUCAGGAGUUCGAGUCUCCUUACCUCCACCUGCACCAAAAGUUUUUCAACUCUACUUUUUUUGUACUCAAAACCAAGUGAUUGAUAAAGAGUGCAAUCAAGUGAAAAAUAAAAAACAAAGGUGAGUAUCCAAAAGUAAAAGAGUGGGUAAAGUUCAGCAUCUUGUGAAUGCCACAAGACUGCUGGGUAGAAUCCAGUAAAAGAACCUUGAAAACUGCAUAGAGACGCGAGAAAUGUUAGGUAGUUAACGUUAAACAGUUAACACUCCAAGCAAGAAAAGCAAUGACUAUUUGUAGUCAAGCAAGAAAAGGCGAAUGGUGGAUACCUAGGCACACAGAG